Molecule: ribosomal RNA, 253 nt
Filed under: uncultured bacterium
Lineage: Bacteria
Description: partial 16S ribosomal RNA
Rfam family: Bacterial small subunit ribosomal RNA
Source: RNAcentral
CACGUAGGCACCAAGCGUUGUCCGGAUUUAUUGGGCGUAAAGCGCUCGCAGGUGGUUCGAUGCGUCGUGCGUGAAAGACCCCGGCUCAACUGGGGAGGGUCGUGCGAUACGGUCGGACUGGAGGCCAGUAGGGGGAUGCGGAAUUCCGGGUGUAGUGGUGGAAUGCGUAGAGAUCCGGAGGAACACCAGCGGCGAAGGCGGCAUCCUGGACUGGUCCUGACACUCAUGAGCGAAAGCGUGGGGAGCGAUCCGG